Molecule: ribosomal RNA, 2895 nt
Filed under: Escherichia coli
Lineage: Bacteria; Pseudomonadati; Pseudomonadota; Gammaproteobacteria; Enterobacterales; Enterobacteriaceae
Description: 23S ribosomal RNA
Rfam family: Bacterial large subunit ribosomal RNA
Source: RNAcentral
GGUUAAGCGACUAAGCGUACACGGUGGAUGCCCCGGCAGUCAGAGGCGAUGAAGGACGUGCUAAUCUGCGAUAAGCGUCGGUAAGGUGAUAUGAACCGUUAUAACCGGCGAUUUCCGAAUGGGGAAACCCAGUGUGUUUCGACACACUAUCAUUAACUGAAUCCAUAGGUUAAUGAGGCGAACCGGGGAACUGAAACAUCUAAGUACCCCGAGGAAAAGAAAUCAACCGAGAUUCCCCAGUAGCGGCGAGCGAACGGGGAGCAGCCCAGAGCCUGAAUCAGUGUGUGUGUUAGUGGAAGCGUCUGGAAAGGCGCGCGAUACAGGGUGACAGCCCCGUACACAAAAAUGCACAUGCUGUGAGCUCGAUGAGUAGGGCGGGACACGUGGUAUCCUGUCUGAAUAUGGGGGACCAUCCUCCAAGGCUAAAUACUCCUGACUGACCGAUAGUGAACCAGUACCGUGAGGGAAAGGCGAAAAGAACCCCGGCGAGGGGAGUGAAAAAGAACCUGAAACCGUGUACGUACAAGCAGUGGGAGCACGCUUAGGCGUGUGACUGCGUACCUUUGUAUAAUGGGUCAGCGACUUAUAUUCUGUAGCAAGGUUAACCGAAUAGGGGAGCCGAAGGGAAACCGAGUCUUAACUGGGCGUUAAGUUGCAGGGUAUAGACCCGAAACCCGGUGAUUCUAGCCAUGGGCAGGUUGAAGGUUGGGUAACACUAACUGGAGGACCGAACCGACUAAUGUUGAAAAAUUAGCGGAUGACUUGUGGCUGGGGGUGAAAGGCCAAUCAAACCGGGAGAUAGCUGGUUCUCCCCGAAAGCUAUUUAGGUAGCGCCUCGUGAAUUCAUCUCCGAGGGUAGAGCACUGUUUCGGCAAGGGGGUCAUCCCGACUUACCAACCCGAUGCAAACUGCGAAUACCGGAGAAUGUUAUCACGGGAGACACACGGCGGGUGCUAACGUCCGUCGUGAAGAGGGAAACAACCCAGACCGCCAGCUAAGGUCCCAAAGUCAUGGUUAAGUGGGAAACGAUGUGGGAAGGCCCAGACAGCCGGGAUGUUGGCUUAGAAGCAGCCAUCAUUUAAAGAAAGCGUAAUAGCUCACUGGUCGAGUCGGCCUGCGCGGAAGAUGUAACGGGGCUAAACCAUGCACCGAAGCUGCGGCAGCGACACUAUGUGUUGUUGGGUAGGGGAGCGUUCUGUAAGCCUGUGAAGGUGUGCUGUGAGGCAUGCUGGAGGUAUCAGAAGUGCGAAUGCUGACAUAAGUAACGAUAAAGCGGGUGAAAAGCCCGCUCGCCGGAAGACCAAGGGUUCCUGUCCAACGUUAAUCGGGGCAGGGUGAGUCGACCCCUAAGGCGAGGCCGAAAGGCGUAGUCGAUGGGAAACAGGUUAAUAUUCCUGUACUUGGUGUUACUGCGAAGGGGGACGGAGAAGGCUAUGUUGGCCGGGCGACGGUUGUCCCGGUUUAAGCGUGUAGGCUGGUUUUCCGAGCAAAUCCGGAAAAUCAAGGCUGAGGCGUGAUGACGAGGCACUACGGUGCUGAAGCAACAAAUGCCCUGCUUCCGGGAAAAGCCUCUAAGCAUCAGGUAACAUCAAAUCGUACCCCAAACCGACACAGGUGGUCAGGUAGAGAAUACCAAGGCGCUUGAGAGAACUCGGGUGAAGGAACUAGGCAAAAUGGUGCCGUAACUUCGGGAGAAGGCACGCUGAUAUGUAGGUGAGGUCCCUCGCGGAUGGAGCUGAAAUCAGUCGAAGAUACCAGCUGGCUGCAACUGUUUAUUAAAAACACAGCACUGUGCAAACACGAAAGUGGACGUAUACGGUGUGACGCCUGCCCGGUGCCGGAAGGUUAAUUGAUGGGGUUAGCGCAAGCGAAGCUCUUGAUCGAAGCCCCGUAAACGGCACUGUAACUAUAACGGUCCUAAGGUAGCGAAAUUCCUUGUCGGGUAAGUUCCGACCUGCACGAAUGGCGUAAUGAUGGCCGGGCUGUCUCCACCCGAGACUCAGUGAAAUUGAACUCGCUGUGAAGAUGCAGUGUACCCGCGGCAAGACGGAAAGACCCCGUGAACCUUUACUAUAGCUUGACACUGAACAUUGAGCCUUGAUGUGUAGGAUAGGUGGGAGGCUUUGAAGUGUGGACGCCAGUCUGCAUGGAGCCGACCUUGAAAUACCACCCUUUAAUGUUUGAUGUUCUAACGUUGACCCGUAAUCCGGGUUGCGGACAGUGUCUGGUGGGUAGUUUGACUGGGGCGGUCUCCUCCUAAAGAGUAACGGAGGAGCACGAAGGUUGGCUAAUCCUGGUCGGACAUCAGGAGGUUAGUGCAAUGGCAUAAGCCAGCUUGACUGCGAGCGUGACGGCGCGAGCAGGUGCGAAAGCAGGUCAUAGUGAUCCGGUGGUUCUGAAUGGAAGGGCCAUCGCUCAACGGAUAAAAGGUACUCCGGGGAUAACAGGCUGAUACCGCCCAAGAGUUCAUAUCGACGGCGGUGUUUGGCACCUCGAUGUCGGCUCAUCACAUCCUCGGGCUGAAGUAGGUCCCAAGGGUAUGGCUGUUCGCCAUUUAAAGUGGUACGCGAGCUGGGUUUAGAACGUCGUGAGACAGUUCGGUCCCUAUCUGCCGUGGGCGCUGGAGAACUGAGGGGGCUGCUCCUAGUACGAGAGGACCGGAGUGGACGCAUCACUGGUGUUCGGGUUGUCAUGCCAAUGGCACUGCCCGGUAGCUAAAUGCGGAAGAGAUAAGUGCUGAAAGCAUCUAAGCACGAAACUUGCCCCGAGAUGAGUUCUCCCUGACUCCUUGAGAGUCCUGAAGGAACGUUGAAGACGACGACGUUGAUAGGCGGGUGUGUAAGCGCAGCGAUGCGUUGAGCUAACCGGUACUAAUGAACCGUGAGGCUUAACCUU